GGUGAACGCUGGCGGUAGGCCUAACACAUGCAAGUCGAACGGCAACACAGUAAGAGCUUGCUCUUACGGGUGGCGAGUGGCGGACGGGUGAGGAAUAUAUCGGAAUCUACUUUUUCGUGGGAGAUCACGUAGGGAAACUUACUCUAAUACCGCAUACGCUCUACGGGUGAAAGCAGGGGAUCUUUUCACCUUGCGCGAUUGAAUGAGCCGAUGUCGGAUUAGCCAGUUGGCGGGGUAAUGGCCCACCAAGGCGACGAUCCGUAGCUGGUCUGAGAGGCUGAUCAGCCACACUGGAACUGGGACACGGUCCAUACUCCUACGGGAGGCCGCAGUGGGGAAUAUUGGACAGUGGGCGGAAGCCUGAUCCAGCCAUACCGCGUGUGUGAAGAAGGCCUUCGGGUUGUAAAGCCCUUUUGUUGGGUAAGAAAAGCAGCAGGUUAAUACCCCGCUGUUCUGACGGUAACCAAAGAAUAAGCACCGGCUAACUUCGUG
Molecule: ribosomal RNA, 492 nt
Filed under: uncultured bacterium
Lineage: Bacteria
Description: partial 16S ribosomal RNA
Rfam family: Bacterial small subunit ribosomal RNA
Source: RNAcentral